UCACUUCCUCCCAAGCCUGGCGUUUGGUUGGUGAGGACUUGCAGGUUCCCCCUGCAUAUCGGGAAGUGUGAGUUUUUGUUCAGGGUGCAUCUACCUGGGGCCAUGGCAUAAUGUUCAUCUGCAAUGAUUGUAAGGUGUUCAGAUUUUGUAAAUCCAAAUAAAACUGUUUUAAAGAACACAAUCCUCAGCCGGGCAUGGUGGCUCAUGCCUGGAAUCCCAGCACUUUGGGAGGCCGAGGCGGGCGGAUCACGAGGUCAGGAGAUCGAGACCAUCCUGGCCAACACAGUGAAACCCCGUCUCCACUAAAAUAAUACAAAAAAAUUAGCCGGGCAUGGUGGCGGGCGCCUGUAGUCCCAGCUACUCGGGAGGCUGGGGCAGGAGAAUGGCAUGAACCUGGUAGGCAGAGCCUGCAGUGAGCUGAGAUCGCGCCACUGCACUCCAGCCUGGGCGACAGAGCAAGACUCUGUCUCAAAAAAAAAAAAAAAAAAAAAAAAUCUCUCUCUCCUACAUUGCUGUCUGCAAAACAAUGGAGGUUAUGGAUGUUAGAUUGCAUCUCGAUGUUAAACCUUUGCUAAUGUACUUAUGGGAAUCACAAAGAUUCUGUUUGUAAAUACAGAAGUGAAUUGUAGACAUAAAAUGGUUGUGCCAUGUGGAUAAUGGCAGGCACUAGGUGACAUUUAUGUAGUAACUAAUGACAAAAAUUCAUGGCUAGUGGCAUAUAAAAUACUCUUUGCAGUAAAAUAUUUCCUUGAUUAAUGUUAUAGAAGGGGGACAUAACAAGGAACUCACAGUUGGUGUGGCAGCUAGCCUCAAAGACUGUCUUUCAUUUGGUUUCAGCACCUCCUGUUUGGGGUUAUUAGCAUCUUAGAAGAGCACGGUGGCCUUGUCUGAUGAAGCCGAAUUGUGCUGGUCUGUUCCGAGCUGGUUUAAGUGUUCUGAUGGGCAGCUGUGGAUGUUGGGGUUCAGAGCUUAGUCAUCGUUGCCUGAAAUGGCACUAGACUCUACAAUUUCUGCCUUGGAGAACACUCAGUUCUUACUUGUGAUUUCUGGUAGAACAAGCUUUAUUUUUCUAGCCUAGUAAUGAUCUUGAAGCAGAGGAAUCCCAGUGCCUUUUAAGAAUUGUGUUGGCCGGUGCGGUGGCUCACGCCUGUAAUCCCAGCACUUCUGGAGGCCGAGGCUGGAAGAUUACUUGAGCCCAGGAGUUUGAGACCAGCCUGGGCAACAUAGACCUCAUUUCUACAAAAAUUAAAAAAUAAUAAAAAUUUGUUGUGUGGUUUUUUAAAAAAGCUACUAAUUGUUUUUGGGAAAUAGAAUUUAUGGGU
Molecule: long non-coding RNA, 1322 nt
Filed under: Homo sapiens (human)
Lineage: Eukaryota; Metazoa; Chordata; Mammalia; Primates; Hominidae
Description: non-protein coding lnc-C8G-2:1
Source: RNAcentral